UCGGCUCACGGCUUUCUGGUUGACACAGGUGUUUGUCAGGCUGCUGGGCGACCUUUCCCGAAGGAGGCCGUGCCUUCAUUCGGGCGCGCCCUGGGCUGGGGAGGCAUCUCCCUCGUGCGCAGGAACCGCAGGGGCGAGUAGGAGCAGGUUGGGUAAAUGGACGCCUGGAGAACAGAAAUCCAGUACCAAAAUUGACUCCAGAAGAGAGAACCUAGCGGAACAAUAACAAUGGAAGAAAUUGGGAACAUUAUCAAAAAGCUAUCAUCUUGCCAAACUCCAGGCUCAGAUGGUGUUACAGGUUAAAAAAAAAGUUCUUGAAAAAGAAAGAUCUUAAGCAACAUGAUGGAUUCAGAAGCUCAUGAAAAGAGGCCACCAAUACUAACACCUUCAAAACAAGAUAUAUCAUCUCAUAUUACAAAUGUUGGUGAAAUGAAGCAUUACUUGUGUGGCUGCUGUGCCGCCUUCAGCAACAUCGCAAUCACAUUUCCCAUUCAGAAGGUCCUCCUUCGACAGCAGCUGCAUGGCAUCAAAACCCGGGAAGCAUUACUUCACUUGAGAAAAGAUGGAUUUCGAAACUUCAUUGUGGAAUGCUUCCCCCAUUGAUGCAGAAAACAACUGCACUUACACUUAUGUUUGGUCUGUAUGAGGAUUUAUCCUGCCUUCUCCACAAGCAUGUCAGGGCUCCAGAGUUUGCAACCCGUGGCAUGGCGGCAGUGCUUGCAGGGACAACAGAAGCGAUUUUCACUCCGCUGGAAAGAGUUCAGACAUUGCAUCAAGACCACAAGCAUUGUGACAGAUUUGCCAACACUUACCAGGCUUUCAAGGCACUGGAAUGUCAUGGAAUUAGAGAGUAUUAUCUAGACUUGGUGCCCAUUCUUUUCCGGAAUGGGCUCAGCAAUGUCUUUUUUUUCCGGCCUUCGAGGAGGUCCCAUUAAGGAGCAUCUGCCUACCGCAACGACUCGCAGUGCUCGUUUGGUCAAUGAUUUUAUCUGUGGAGGUCUAUUGGGUGCCAUGAUGGGAUUCUUGUUUUAUCCAAUUAAUGUUGUAAAAACUCGCAUGCAGUCUCAGAUUGGUGGGGAAUUUCAGUCUCUCCCCAAGGUUUUCCAAACAGUCUGGCUGGAACGGGACAGAAAACUGAUAAACUUUUUCAGAGGUGCCCAUCUGAAUUACAACUGGUCCCUUAUCUCUUGGGGCAUAAUCAGUGCAACUUAUGAGUUCUUGUUAAAGGUUAUAUGAAUAAAAAAUCAGUCAAGUGUCAUUUAUCAACUGAAUGGAUCUUCUGAGAAGUAUGCAUUUUGGCCUCUUUCUUAAUUGGCAGAAUACAAGUUGGUGUCAUAACUCCAGGCCACAGUGAGCUAUAGACAAAGAUAUUUUCCCUAAGCAUCAACAAAACAGAAUAAAAGGUUCCAAUAGGAAAAUAUAAGGGUUUUGUUGGUGGUGGUUUUGUUUUGUUUUUUUAUCAUCACCUAAGAGCUUUAGGCUGAUUGCCUGGCAAAUAGCUGUCCAUCUGAUGGCCUUUGACAGAUGGUAUUCUUUUUCUCAAACCAUUCUUGAAAUCUGCAUUGAAACAUAAGUGGCUGUGACCGGCCAGAGAGAAGGUCCUCAGGGGCAAGGGGCUUCUCAGGCUUACUUUGUUAUUCCAUUGCUUGCUUCUCUGCCCUCAGAAACAGCUGCAGAGGAUAGUCUUCAUUAAGCUCAAGCAUAUGAGAAAGGGGCAGAACAGAGUAGAAAAGCAGCUUAUUAGAUACAGGCUUUUAAUGAUAAAUUGCUUGUAUUAGUUUUGAAACUAAGCACCUAUUGGAUAGUCAUUAUAAUAUUUCUAUUUAGAUAGGGUAGGUAGAUCAAGGAGCUAUGAAAGUUCUCAUUUUGCCUUCUGGGUUUGAAAAUUUUCUGUUUGAUUCUGACUGUGGCCUUCAACCCUUCCAAAAUAUCCUUAUGUUAACUUCACUUAUUUCAUUGCCAAAAGAUGAAGGGGCUUAAAUUUUGUUAUGAGUGUUCCAUUCUGUUAAGAAGUUUUCAUAUUAAUUGUAUAUAGAUAAAAGUCUGUUUAGCUUGGUUUCUUUGAAUUAUUGGUGCUAUCUCAGCGGUUACUUUUCCUCUUGAGUAGGAGUUGGUCAUUUUCAAGCAUCCUGUUCUCUUAAAACUCUCCUUUUAAAAAAUAAACACUUCCAUAACAUUUUGUUUUAGAAGUCUAUUAAUGCAAUCCCACUUUUUUCCCCCUAGUUUCUAAAUGUUACAGAGGGGGAAAAAGGCUCAGGAUAGUUUUCACCCCACAGUGUUGGCUUUUAUUUUACUCUUGGAAAUAGAGACUCCAUUAGGGUUUUGACAUUUUGGGAACCCAGUGUUACCAUUGUGUCAGUAAAACAGUAAGACAGUUUGAGAGCACAUGAUCUAAAUAAAGACAUUUGAAGGGUUAGUUUGAAUUCUAAAAGUAAGUAAUAGCCAAAUAGCAUUCUCAUCCCUUAACAGAUGAAAACUUCUUCAUCAAAGGAAUUGUCAAUAUGAAAAUACUUUUUCCAGAUAAAGCAAAAUGACUCAUCUGCCACUUCCAAUAGACUAAUGAAAUAUAAGAGACUGACUGAAAAAGUGGAUUAUGAAUCUUAAAACCCUUUCUGUAAAUACUACAUAGUUAAAGAUUGAUUUCCAGACGACAUGACAGUAGGUUUCCUGCUAGCCAGUUUUUCUUCUUUCUGGGUAAUUGCAUGUCAAUAUGUGCACAUACUGACCAAAAUAAAAUCAACUUGGUAGUUUACUUAAAGUUUCUGGGCAAAUAGUCCAUAAAAGCUGUUUACCUCUAAAUGCAGUACGGCUGGCUAAAUACAGGGACCAUCCUUCUUCCAGCUGUAAAGGAUGAAGCAUAUUAAACAUUAGCCAGGCAGUAAUGAAGCUAAAUAGCCACACAGCAAUUCUGUCUGACAAUGUUGUGCUGGAUAUUGUAGUUUACUUUCAAGGUGCAGAUGUAAGGAUUUAAAAAUAAUAAUAAUUUGGCACCAAAUAAAUAUGAGUAGCAUUCUUUGGCCUGUUAGAGUCAGGAUUUGAAGGGAGUUGCAUUUGAGAAAUUAAUGAAUAAAGGCACCUUGGUGCCUGACCCCUUCAUUUAUAU
This is an RNA transcript of Callithrix jacchus (white-tufted-ear marmoset), 3103 nucleotides long. It is a transcript of the gene named mitochondrial nicotinamide adenine dinucleotide transporter SLC25A51-like, with no coding region annotated. NCBI's taxonomy places the organism in Eukaryota, Metazoa, Chordata, Mammalia, Primates, Cebidae. The record is from RefSeq and is a predicted model, not a curated record.